CGGGGUGAGUAAUGUCUGGGAAACUGCCUGAUGGAGGGGGAUAACUACUGGAAACGAUAGCUAAUACCGCAUAACGUCGCAAGACCAAAGAGGGGGACCUUCGGGCCUCUUGCCAUCGGAUGUGCCCAGAUGGGAUUAGCUAGUAGGUGGGGUAACGGCUCACCUAGGCGACGAUCCCUAGCUGGUCUGAGAGGAUGACCAGCCACACUGGAACUGAGACACGGUCCAG
This 229-nucleotide ribosomal RNA is filed under the name uncultured bacterium. RNAcentral describes it as "partial 16S ribosomal RNA". It matches the Rfam family "Bacterial small subunit ribosomal RNA", at positions 104 to 334 of the family's 1533-position model. The record is from RNAcentral.